AACGCACAUUGCGCCCGCCAGUAUUCUGGCGGGCAUGCCUGUCCGAGCGUCAUUUCAACCCUCGAACCCCUCCGGGGGAUCGGCGUUGGGGAUCGGGACCCCUCACCGGGUGCCGGCCCUGAAAUACAGUGGCGGUCUCGCCGCAGCCUCUCCUGCGCAGUAGUUUGCACAACUCGCACCGGGAGCGCGGCGCGUCCACGUCCGUAAAACACCCAACUUCUGAAAUGUUGACCUCGGAUCAGGUAGGAAUACCCGCUGAACUUAA
This 265-nucleotide unclassified non-coding RNA is filed under the name uncultured Trichoderma. RNAcentral's name for it is "sequence contains ITS2". The stretch from base 1 to 52 matches the Rfam family "5.8S ribosomal RNA", at positions 103 to 154 of the family's 154-position model. The record is from RNAcentral. Lineage: Eukaryota; Fungi; Ascomycota; Sordariomycetes; Hypocreales; Hypocreaceae.